AAAUUGAAGAGUUUGAUCAUGGCUCAGAUUGAACGCUGGCGGCAGGCCUAACACAUGCAAGUCGAACGGUAACAGGAAACAGCUUGCUGUUUCGCUGACGAGUGGCGGACGGGUGAGUAAUGUCUGGGAAACUGCCUGAUGGAGGGGGAUAACUACUGGAAACGGUAGCUAAUACCGCAUAACGUCGCAAGACCAAAGAGGGGGACCUUCGGGCCUCUUGCCAUCGGAUGUGCCCAGAUGGGAUUAGC
Molecule: ribosomal RNA, 248 nt
Filed under: Escherichia coli
Lineage: Bacteria; Pseudomonadati; Pseudomonadota; Gammaproteobacteria; Enterobacterales; Enterobacteriaceae
Also listed under: 3 other names
Description: partial 16S ribosomal RNA
Rfam family: Bacterial small subunit ribosomal RNA
Source: RNAcentral